GAUGAACGCUAGCUACAGGCUUAACACAUGCAAGUCGAACGAAGACAUCUGAGUGCUUGCACUUGGAUGGACUGAGUGGCGGACGGGUGAGUAACGCGUGGGUAACCUGCCUUAUACAGGGGGAUAACAGUUGGAAACGACUGCUAAUACCGCAUAAGCCCACGGGUCGGCAUCGACCAGAGGGAAAAGGAGCAAUCCGCUUUGAGAUGGCCUCGCGUCCGAUUAGCUGGUUGGUGAGGUAACGGCCCACCAAGGCAACGAUCGGUAGCCGGACUGAGAGGUUGAACGGCCACAUUGGGACUGAGACACGGCCCAGACUCCUACGGGAGGCAGCAGUGGGGAAUAUUGCACAAUGGGGGAAACCCUGAUGCAGCGACGCCGCGUGGAGGAAGAAGGUCUUCGGAUUGUAAACUCCUGUUGUUGAGGAAGAUAAUGACGGUACUCAACAAGGAAGUGACGGCUAACUACGUG
RNAcentral lists this ribosomal RNA (471 nucleotides) under uncultured bacterium. RNAcentral describes it as "bacterial SSU rRNA". It matches the Rfam family "Bacterial small subunit ribosomal RNA", at positions 28 to 507 of the family's 1533-position model. The record is from RNAcentral.